CAAUUCAGAACAUUCCCUAACGGCACCCAAAGGAGCGUGUCCAGAUUCAAUUCAAAACAUUCCCUAACGGCGCUCAAAUUAUAGUGCAAUGGCCGUUGUAAAAAACAGUGACCGUUGAAAAAAGGAAGGAUUAAAUUUCUUAUAAAUGGGCGGUAUACUUGAGAAGCAGGACAGAUUUCCCGUUCUGUUUUCUUUUUGGUUUGAUAUGUUUCCAUUGUGUGUUUUUGGCGUGGCCAUGCCUAUUUUGAAUUUUUCUUUCCUGAGUUUUGGUUUCCAAUUUUUAUAGUUUUUUGGUAUUUCGUGUAUCUUCUUUUUUCUGUGGGUUGUCAGUUUUUAAUGGGCACGGAGUAGUCGACAGCAAGAACUCUACAUUCUGGAGUGGCUGAUUGGAGAUGUGGCCAGAAAAUAGGCAGAGCUAGAGGUGAUUGACUCUGAACAGGGCAGAGCUAGAGGUGAUUGACUCUGCUUGAUCAUUUUAACAAUAUCUUGGUCACCAUGUUGUCGAUGGGCUUCCAUAUGCACAGUGAGAUUUCAUUUUUCUUGUAUAUGGGCUUCCAUGUACUAAUAAAAUGUAUAAUAUUAUAUCAACUAUAUAAUAUUUUUCUCUGAACAGGGCAGAGCUAGAGGUGAUUGACUCUGCUUGAUCAUUUUAACAAUAUCUUGGUCACCAUGUUGUCGAUGGGCUUCCAUAUGCACGGGCAGAGACAGAGGUGAUCGACUCUGCUUGACUAUUUUAACAGUAUCUUGGUCACCAUGUUGUUGAGGUUCUAUCAUCCAUGCACGGUGGAUUUCAUGUUUCUUGUAUAUGGGCUUUCAUGUUCUUAUAAAUGUAUUGGGUUUUUAUAUUGGUCUUUGUAUUUUCUUAAAUCUAUUGGGUUUUCUAUUUUGCAAUGCUCUUUUUGCAUGACUUGAAGUAGUUUUUUAUUCUUUUGUGUUUUCAAUGUUGCUCGGUGCUUAAAUCAUUGGCAUGUCAUCGUCAUUCUAAUUGAUUCUUAUACAUUCUCC
Cryptomeria japonica (Japanese cedar) is the source of this 1005-nucleotide long non-coding RNA. RefSeq lists it as uncharacterized. The record is from RefSeq and is a predicted model, not a curated record. NCBI's taxonomy places the organism in Eukaryota, Viridiplantae, Streptophyta, Pinopsida, Cupressales, Cupressaceae. The transcript is spliced from 3 exons.